CACACCACGAAAGUCGGUAACACCCGAAGCCGGUGGCCUAACCGUAAGGAAGGAGCCGUCGAAGGUGGGAUCGGUGAUUGGGGUGAAGUCGUAACAAGGUGACCGUACCGGAAGGUGCGGUCGGAUCACCUCCUUUCUAAGGAGUGUCUUCCUGAUCGUUCAUCCACAUUUGUGGGUGCGUGAAGGACACACCUGUUGGUGCACUGUUGUGUUAGUCAAACAUUCGAUGUGGUUGAGGUUUACUUCCCACGUCGCGUGAAUGGCGGCAUUGUCUUCUCUUCUGUUUUGAGGGAGUUUCUCCCUCUACGAACAUCACGUAAGUGAUGUUCCUCUGUCUGAUCAACGAGAGUUGAUAUCGCCACUCUGGUCGCGAUAUCCCUGGUUGAUUAGCCCCUUGAGAACUGCAGAGCAAGCACGAGCAUCUUAUUUUUAUAUAUAAAGCUACAAAGAGCCAACGGUGGAUGCCUUGGCACCAAGAACCGAUGAAGGACGUGGGCGACUGCGAAAAGCCACGGGUAGCUGUCUACCUAGCGUUGAUCCGUGGAUAU
Molecule: unclassified non-coding RNA, 548 nt
Filed under: uncultured bacterium SH11
Lineage: Bacteria
Description: contains partial 16S ribosomal RNA, complete intergenic spacer region, and partial 23S ribosomal RNA sequence
Rfam family: Bacterial small subunit ribosomal RNA (bases 1-136)
Source: RNAcentral